This 497-nucleotide ribosomal RNA is filed under the name uncultured bacterium. RNAcentral's name for it is "partial 16S ribosomal RNA". It matches the Rfam family "Bacterial small subunit ribosomal RNA", at positions 28 to 507 of the family's 1533-position model. The record is from RNAcentral.
GAUGAACGCUGGCGGCGUGCUUAAUACAUGCAAGUCGAACGAACAGAUGAGGAGCUUGCUCCUUUGACGUUUGCGGCGGACGGGUGUGACACACGUGGAUACUCUACCUAUCAGUCGGGGAUCACUUCGGGAAACCGGCUCUUAUCCCGUAUAAUAUCUUGCUCCGUAUUGGGCAAUAGUAAAAUACGGUUUUGCUGUCUCUUAUCGCUGGAUACCCGCCGCAUUAGCUAGUUGGUAAGGUCACGGCUUACCAAGGCAACGAUGCGUAGCCGACCUGAGGGAGUGAUCGGCCACACUGGAACGUAGACACGGACAAUAGGCCUACGGGAGGCAGCAGUAGGGAAUCGUCCGCAGUGGGGGGAAGCCUGACGGAGCAACGCCGAGUGAGAGAUGAAGGUGUUGGGAGCGUGAUAAUGUGUUAUUAGGGAAGAACAAAUGUGUAAGUAAAUAUGCACGUCGUGACGGUAACGAAUCAGAAAGCCACGGCUAACUACGUG